CCUACGGGCGGCAGCAGUGGGGGAUAUUGCACAAUGGGGGGAACCCUGAUGCAGCGACGCCGCGUGGGUGAAGAAGCGCCUCGGCGCGUAAAGCCCUGUCAGCAGGGAAGAAAAUGACGGUACCUGAAGAAGAAGCCCCGGCUAACUACGUGCCAGCAGCCGCGGGAAUACGUAGGGGGCAAGCGGUAUCCGGAUUUACUGGGUGUAAAGGGGGCGCAGACGGCGAUGCAAGCCAGGAGUGAAAGCCCGGGGCCCAACCCCGGGACUGCUCUUGGAACUGCGUGGCUGGAGUGCAGGAGGGGCAGGCGGAAUUCCUGGUGUAGCGGUGAAAUGCGUAGAUAUCAGGAGGAACACCGGUGGCGAAGGCGGCCUGCUGGACUGCAACUGACGUUGAGGCCCGAAAGCGUGGGGAGCAAACAGGAUUAGAUACCCCAGGAGUC
RNAcentral lists this ribosomal RNA (440 nucleotides) under uncultured bacterium. RNAcentral's name for it is "partial 16S ribosomal RNA". It matches the Rfam family "Bacterial small subunit ribosomal RNA", at positions 338 to 795 of the family's 1533-position model. The record is from RNAcentral.